GGGGGACUAGCUCAGUUGCUAGAGCUCAUGCCUUGCAUGCACAAGGCCCUGGGUUCAAUACCCAGCACCACCA
This 73-nucleotide transfer RNA is filed under the name Ictidomys tridecemlineatus (thirteen-lined ground squirrel). RNAcentral's name for it is "Spermophilus tridecemlineatus (thirteen-lined ground squirrel) tRNA". It matches the Rfam family "tRNA". Rfam says of the family: Transfer RNA (tRNA) molecules are approximately 80 nucleotides in length. Their secondary structure includes four short double-helical elements and three loops (D, anti-codon, and T loops). Lineage: Eukaryota; Metazoa; Chordata; Mammalia; Rodentia; Sciuridae. The record is from Rfam by way of RNAcentral.